UACAGAGGUCUCAAGCGUUGUUCGGAUUCAUUGGGCGUAAAGGGUGCGUAGGUGGCGUCGUAAGUCAGGUGUGAAAUUUCGGAGCUUAACUUCGAAACUGCAUUUGAUACUGCGGUGCUUGAGGACUGGAGAGGAGACUGGAAUUUACGGUGUAGCAGUGAAAUGCGUAGAGAUCGUAAGGAAGACCAGUGGCGAAGGCGGGUCUCUGGACAGUUCCUGACACUGAGGCACGAAGGCCAGGGGAGCAAAACGGGG
This 255-nucleotide ribosomal RNA is filed under the name uncultured bacterium. RNAcentral's name for it is "partial 16S ribosomal RNA". It matches the Rfam family "Bacterial small subunit ribosomal RNA", at positions 524 to 778 of the family's 1533-position model. The record is from RNAcentral.